GUGGGGUGAUGGCCUACCAAGGCGACGACGGGUAGCCGGCCUGAGAGGGCGACCGGCCACACUGGGACUGAGACACGGCCCAGACUCCUACGGGAGGCAGCAGUGGGGAAUAUUGCACAAUGGGCGGAAGCCUGAUGCAGCGACGCCGCGUGAGGGAUGACGGCCUUCGGGUUGUAAACCUCUUUCAGCAGGGACGAAGCGAGAGUGACGGUACCUGCAGAAGAAGCACCGGCCAACUACGUGCCAGCAGCCGCGGUAAGACGUAGGGUGCGAGCGUUGUCCGGAUUUAUUGGGCGUAAAGAGCUCGUAGGCGGCUUGUCGCGUCGACCGUGAAAACUUGGGGCUCAACCCCAAGCCUGCGGUCGAUACGGGCAGGCUAGAGUUCGGUAGGGGAGACUGGAAUUCCUGGUGUAGCGGUGAAAUGCGCAGAUAUCAGGAGGAACACCGGUGGCGAAGGCGGGUCUCUGGGCCGAUACUGACGCUGAGGAGCGAAAGCGUGGGGAGCGAACAGGAUUAGAUACCCUGGUAGUCCACGCUGUAAACGUUGGGCGCUAGGUGUGGGGGGCCUCUCCGGUUUCCUGUGCCGCAGCUAACGCAUUAAGCGCCCCGCCUGGGGAGUACGG
This 623-nucleotide ribosomal RNA is filed under the name Micromonospora sp. MP38-G4. RNAcentral's name for it is "bacterial SSU rRNA". It matches the Rfam family "Bacterial small subunit ribosomal RNA", at positions 252 to 885 of the family's 1533-position model. Lineage: Bacteria; Bacillati; Actinomycetota; Actinomycetes; Micromonosporales; Micromonosporaceae. The record is from RNAcentral.